CAGUUCUCCAGCUGCAGCCCAUCGGUAUACUGCUACUGCUGGAGAGCAGUUCUUCACUUUCAGGCUAUUAAAGAGAACUGAGUAAGAAAAAGAAUACAAGAACAAAAGUGUGCAGAUGCAGGCUUUACAUUUUAUGGGAAUUUUUACCUGAAGCUGUGCUGUCUCCCAGUUGUACACUUCCUGGUGUGCAUGUUGUAUAUUCUGGUAUGAGUUGUGCAGAUACCCACAGAGAGCUCAUUUGAAGUUCAAGUGCUUGAAAUACUCAGCAAAGUGAAUUCAUAAAUAGCAUAUAUUACCAGCAUUUGUGCAAACUGUUUUACAUUUGACUGUGUUUCUGUAUUUGUCUCCUAGCCACUAAAGCCCUAGGGACUGUUUAGUCUAACCUUCUGCAUAGCAAGGCCAGAGGUUCCUGCACCAAGCUCAGCAUCUUGCAGUCGAAGCGGUCGGCAUCUUUUUGUAGACACCCAGCCUUGAUGGGAGAGCUCCAAGUGUCUAAGCACAUUCCAGGGCAAGCAAUUCCAAUGGUUAAUUACCCACACUGUUAAAGACGUGUGUCUUGUCCCCCAGCUUGAAUUUUGCUGUGUUUGGCUUCCAGGCACUGCAUCUCUGAAUGUGAAAUGUGAAGCUCUCUUGCUGCCGAUUACUUGCGUAUAUCUGUGCAAGGAAAGGAAACGAUGCUCUGUGGUUGAUUCAUCAUCUUGGAAUUUGGAGCUAACCUGCCUUCCCUCUCCAGCAUUCCUGAUGCCACUGCUUAUAUUUUAUUCCAGCACGAUUCAUUUUGGUAGCAUCCCCUCUAUGACUCUAUAAAAUUGCCUAUUUUUCUCUGCUUUCUAAGCCGGGCACAGUAUCGUUAACAACGUGUAUAAAUUCUGCUGAUAGCUUCAGGACCAAAUCCAGAACCUAUAGAAACAGCUGAGCCAAAUGCCUAAGAGAUGCAUGCAAGGGGAAAACAUGCAAAGCUCCAGAGAGGCUGACCAUGCGACAGGUUAAGUGCCUGCACUGGAUGCACGAGGAUCACACACAGGGAACCCAAAGGAUGCAUUAAGUGAUGGAUUACGUGACUGUGUUUUGCCAUCUGAACUUGCCAUCUCUUUGCAAGCUGGGCAGAACGUGUUCAGAUGAAACAAAGAACUGUUACCUGCUACAGGCCCUUUAUCUAGCUCCCUCUUGUGUAUUGAGUUAGAAGAAGUGUGGGGAGCCAUUUGUCAAGAACACCAUCGGAUGGUGCCCCUUGGCCCUUUCAGGAGUGAUCUACAUUGCUGUAAAGGCUCUCUACGCUGGCCUGAAUUUCCUCUCUUGGACGUAACGGAACCAAAUGACACCAAUAAGUUAUAUUGGCCUUCCAAGGCACUUGGUGUCAAAUUUAUUUUUGUCAGAUGUAGAUGAACGAUGGCCUUUUGGAAGUUUUAGGUGCUUGUAGUCAGCACCGUGAAGUUCAGCCUUGGGUUCUGCAUAUCUCCUAGAAAUGCCCUAUCAACAUAGGCUAGUAACAGUUUUAAUCUUGUGGACAAAUGUGUUGUAGGCAUUAUGGCCUAUGCAAUAGAUUUCAAUACACAGGUGUUAAGAAUCCCAUCACUUUUUAUAGUGCAGGGAAGUAAACUGAAACAAUUACAAAUCUCUCUUAUUUUAAAAAAUAAUCAGGAAAAUAAUCAGCUAAGGCAACCCUGGUAUCCAGCCUAACCUUGCUGCACCUAUUUUCCAUGCAGCCAUCAUAAUAUUCAAGCAUACUCUCGCAGUUCCCUUUACUUCCAAGAUACUGCCCAAGUUACAUUUAUCAUAUGCGAAGCCAGAACUUCCAGGGGCUAAAGCUAAUGUGUGAAGGACAGACUCCCUGCAGUUAGAACAGUUUUUCUCUAAUAAUAAUGAUUAAAAUUUAAAAUGCUAUCUCUUACAAUCAAUACUUUUAAACAGGAUCUUAAUUGGUUGAGUCAGUGUGCAAACAUAUGGUUACAUUUCUAGAGAAUAAUCUUCAGCUUGCUGCUGAAAUAAAGUCCAGGCGACUCGACCACUGAUUUUUCAUGGGACGCAUGACAAGGUUUGGAGUCUGUUAGCCCGUACAUCAUCAUGAAACACUUGACCUAAAAUGAUUGCCUUCUCAUUGCGUGGUCAUUUAUUCCUCCUUCCGCUUCAGGUGGGUGCUGCUGCUUUCUGGAGCUGCUGUGUGCUUAAAAGAAUUGUCACAUCUUUGCUAAAAUGGAAAAGAAUUGCUUAUAGGAGGCGAAGAGGUAGGGACUUGCUUAUUUCAGACUUGAAAAAAAUCCCUCUUCCCCUUCUCUGCCCAACCCCCAGCUCUCACAGACCUCGUCUCCAAAACCUGUGAUCAGAAGAUCAGAGCUUCCAGUUUAUAAUGCUGGGCUUCCAUUCUACUAGGGGAUGAAAUGACUAACAAUGCUACUAAGGUUUCCUGAUGCGAGAAGUCAAAUGUAUUAGAAUUUGACCAGAAAUCCACGGAGCGUGUUGUUUCCAUUCAAAGAGGUAUCUCCAUGUUCUCCUCCUGUUAAAUGAAAUAAAGGCAUCCAAUAGAACACAGAUCCCACGAAAAAGAAAUCCCUCUAUGGUAAAGGAGGUCUUUG
Long non-coding RNA from Oxyura jamaicensis (ruddy duck), 2573 nucleotides. RefSeq lists it as uncharacterized. Lineage: Eukaryota; Metazoa; Chordata; Aves; Anseriformes; Anatidae. The transcript has 2 exons. The record is from RefSeq and is a predicted model, not a curated record.